GUCUGCAGGUGGGACAGCAGCCCGUCGCUGCCCUCCUCCCAGCCGGGGCAGAGCACGGCCGCGCCACCACGGUCCCCGUCGCCCCCCCGCAGGACGGCCAGCAGCAGGCCGCCCAGGGAGGACGGAGCAAUUUAGAGUGGCUAACUCCGCCUCCGAUUUACAAGCGAGUCGCGCGUUGAGCUGGAGGCUCUCCAGCGGAAAACCGGAGACAACGUGCAAACUCCUCACUGGAGCUGAGAUUCCAACCCUGAACCUGAGAACUGCGAGGCAGUCUGCAUCUGGUCACAUCAUCCCUGCUCCUUGCGUCAACCAAUCAGCUCCCUCCAGCCACUCAUGUCUUGUCCAGGUGUGCCUCGUUGUCUUGUAUUGAGUUUGUUCAGUGGGUGUCUGCUCUAUUUUUGUGUCAUUGCUGUCGUUCCUAUUCACCUCAUGUUUCAUGUAGUGGUUAGUGUUUUUUUGUUUUUUGUUUUUUUAACUUUGAAUCUUAUUUUGCUACUAUGUUAGUUUAGUAUUUAAAAAUGUCCACGUCUUGUUAGCCUUUUUUUCCACCUUAUAAAACCAACAUACAGUAUUUCUUUACAUUCUCUUUAAUCAUCGUUUUUUUAUGGUUUUAUAUGAUACGCUGGCGCAGAGGUUGUGGACGCCUGCCCGAGCCCGUGAAUAGCCGCUUUGCUUCCUCCUCAGACCGUAAACAAAGCUUGUAAUGAGGAAGGAGGGAUCGGGAUUGAAAGCGGGCGAGGCAGCAUUCCAAAACAACACUCCGGCGAACACAUUCAUAUUUCGGCAGGUGUCCGUGCGGCGCGACGCGGAAGAUAGCGGCUGUAAAUAUAUGUUGGCGAUGAAAGACGGGCAAAGAAGACUGAUAUGUGGGGUUUAAUAUCCGCACUUGUGAAAAGGGACUGAUAGUUUGCAGCUUGAAUGAGAACGAGAGGUGUUGCGUGUCUCUGUGUGUGUGUUCUCUCGGCAGGGUGCGAAAUCUGAUUUCAAACACCAUAAACUCAAAAUAAUGAAACACGAGAUAUGCAAGUCACUCUUACCCCCUUUUUUUUUUUUUUGUUAAAUCUAUAUUUAUAUAUAAAAACACAUUUACCAUAAAAAGACUGUCCAGGACAUGCCAAAGCAACAGGUAGCUAGCUUUAGCUAAUCACAACCCUGAUUUUCCUGUGGUGCAGGGUGUGUUAAGCGGGGUACACAUAUACCGAUAAUCGGGCCGAAUUUGAGCAUUUUCGCUCUCUUGCCAGCAAAAUCAGUAAAGGCCCGAUUCCCAGAUGUCUCGAAAAGAUAAUCCUGAGCGCUUAUUCUGCGGUGCGGGUGUGUGUUAAGAGUGAGUUUUUCUUCCCAAUCUUGACAUUGAUUAAAGAUGGGUCUACGCAUACCAAUAAGCAUAUUCCCUCCGUUACGAUCAAAGUCAGAAAAGGCCUGAUUUUCGGAUGAUCCCGAGCAUUUAUCCUUUGGUGUGGGAUGUCUAAAGCAGGGUCCACACAUCAACAAUUGGGUCCUUCCUUUGUGAUCAAAUUCGGAAAAGGCACGAUUGUUGGAUGUUUCUGAAAGAUUGUCCUGAGCAUUUAUCCUUUAGUGUUGGGUGUUAAGAGUGAAUUUUCUUCUGUGUGCUCGACUUGAAUACUCAUGACUUUUUGGAACACACACAUGCCAGCAUACGCCGAGUAUCUGAGAAAAUGUACAUGGAAUGUCAAAACAGUCCAUUAUGUAUUGAUGAAAUACAUUUUCAUGUAAUAACAUCACGUUUUGUAAUAAAA
Long non-coding RNA from Phyllopteryx taeniolatus (common seadragon), 1757 nucleotides. RefSeq lists it as uncharacterized. The record is from RefSeq and is a predicted model, not a curated record. NCBI's taxonomy places the organism in Eukaryota, Metazoa, Chordata, Actinopteri, Syngnathiformes, Syngnathidae. The transcript has 4 exons.